GUACUCACUUUGGCAACGCAUACACUAAAACUGGAACGAUCUAGAGAAGAUUGGCCUGGCCCUGUGCAGUGAUGAUCUGCAAACUCACGAAGUGUUCCAGGUUUUU
Molecule: small nuclear RNA, 106 nt
Organism: Panthera pardus (leopard)
Lineage: Eukaryota; Metazoa; Chordata; Mammalia; Carnivora; Felidae
Source: Ensembl